GGGAGCCGAGAUGGCCGAUGAGAUUGACUGGCUAGACUUGCCCGGCCGGUGGACCUACGGAGUGGACCGUGGAGGGAGAGUGUUCUUCAUCAAUGAUGAGGAAAAGUCAACCAGCUGGGUGCACCCUGGUACAGACUCUCCCAUUCAAAGUGGACACUGCUUUAGUCCAGAUUUGCCUAAGGGCUGGGAGAUGGAUUCCACCCAGGAAGGAGCUGUGUUCUUCAUCAA
Long non-coding RNA from Dipodomys ordii (Ord's kangaroo rat), 228 nucleotides. RefSeq lists it as uncharacterized. The record is from RefSeq and is a predicted model, not a curated record. Lineage: Eukaryota; Metazoa; Chordata; Mammalia; Rodentia; Heteromyidae. The transcript is spliced from 3 exons.